UAAUACGGAGGGUGCAAGCGUUAUCCGGAUUUACUGGGUUUAAAGGGUGCGUAGGCGGACUUUUAAGUCAGGGGUGAAAUCCCGGGGCUCAACCCCGGAACUGCCUUUGAUACUAUUGGUCUUGAAUGUUGUGGAGGUGGGCGGAACGGGUCAUGUAGCGGUGAAAUGCAUAGAUAUGACCCGGAACACCGAUUGCGAAGGCAGCCCGCUACGCAACGAUUGACGCUGAGGCACGAAAGCGUGGGGAUCAAACAGGAUUAGAUACCCUGGUAGUCCACGCCCUAAACGAUGAUUACUGGACGUUGGCGAUAUGACCGAUCAGCGUCUUUCAAAGCGAAAGCAUUAAGUAAUCCACCUGGGAAGUACGUUCGCAAGAAUG
This 379-nucleotide ribosomal RNA is filed under the name uncultured bacterium. Its description in RNAcentral is "bacterial SSU rRNA". It matches the Rfam family "Bacterial small subunit ribosomal RNA", at positions 521 to 896 of the family's 1533-position model. The record is from RNAcentral.